This is a long non-coding RNA of Spinacia oleracea (spinach), 4431 nucleotides long. RefSeq lists it as uncharacterized. The transcript has 6 exons. The record is from RefSeq and is a predicted model, not a curated record. NCBI's taxonomy places the organism in Eukaryota, Viridiplantae, Streptophyta, Magnoliopsida, Caryophyllales, Amaranthaceae.
CCCUCUUAGUUAAACAAUUUUUAUGAUUAAUAAUUGAAUUUGAUUAAUCAAAUUAGUGCCCUUGAUUUCUUAGGGAAUUUAGUUACUACUGCAAGAACAAAGAAGCAUAUAGGCAACUGUGCAAACUCAUCCUCUCACCCCAUGCCGUUCUUUCUUUUGCUUCUUCUUUAAUCUCCCAGAAUCCCCAGAUGAUGAGGCUCAGAGCCCCUCAUUUAAAAUCGCCUUGCCUGGGAACAUAAAGGAGCUUCAGCUCUAUCACCCGGCGUCUCAUCGCACUUCUUAUACACGCCUCAGCAUAUUUGAGAAAUGACGAUUAAUUUCAAUUCUGCUGUUGCAACUUCCAAAUUUAAUCACCCCGUUGCUUACAUGCUUUCCGUUUUCACUCGGCCAUAUUUAGGUAUCCUGACUUCAACGGUUCAACCCCUCCCCCUUCGUUGUACCAAAUUUUAGGAAUGCAAUCUCAUUUUGUGCUUUGUUUUCCCCUACAUUAUAGAUUUAUACCCCUGGGUUUCAUGAUUUCUAUGUUGCCAAACCUUUUAAAUUUUACACAUUUGUAUCCUUGUUGAUGCAAAAGGCAAUCAACUUUAACCCCCUAUCAACAACCGUAUGUUCAAAAGUUUCUUUACUUUUUUUACAUUAAAGUUGAGUUAAAAAAUAAGGAGAAGGUUGUUUAUCGUACACAAUUUAAAUGGAAAUACCAUUUAGCCCCCAUUUCCCUUCUUGUUUUUUUUUGUCUUCUUCCUUACAGACGGUGUAAAUACCAAUAUACCCCUCCCUUGUGAAGCUGACGCGUGUCUAAACAAAAUGUCAGUUGCCUUCCUUCCUUUCUUCGAUCCUCCUCCUUUUGCCUGCUUCCCUAUCCUUUUUCCUCAAUUACUUCUCUUUUCCUGGAAUUCUCACAUGCCAUCUCCCUCCCUUCCAUAAUUUCCAGAAGUCCACCGCAAACAUUGUAGAGCUGGAGCAGCAAUACGACCAUGAAGAAAUCACCGAACAACGAUGAAGAGUCCUCCUAUUCCUUUUGGUAAUAUAAUUCUUUAUUUGCCAAAAAAAAAGAAGGUUUGUUGGAUAAUUCAUAUUUUCUUUUCUGUUCUUUGUUGUUUGGGAUGAUUUUAUUCAUUAUUAAUCAUGAUUUUAUUGUUUUAAUGUUUCUUGAUUGUGUUUUUAUAUUGUUUGAUUCAUAAUUCUGGAUUCAUUAAUCGCGGUGGGGAAAGGAAGGCGAAGGUGGUGGCAACACGUUUGAUGUUAUCCUCUGUUUUGUUGACACCAUAGGUGGCGAAGCCAUUCAACAGCUCCUCGUGAUGUUCCCCCCUAGACUCUCCGUUAACUUUUUAGCUUUAUCCCUGUCUUUAUGUCCCUGGUAUACUUCCAUUUCUCAUCUAAAUUCCUUUACUACUUUCUCAUACAAUUUUGAUUUUUGUCAAAUGCGAUUUUUCAGGUUAAGUUUUAUAACCGCAUUAAUGUCAUCAGUUUAAUCAUUUUGAAUUAUGUGAUCAAUUUGAGUUAUAUUUAUAAAACUUGAUUAGUUUAUAAAUCUGAGCUAUGUUUCAUGUUUUUAGUAUUGAAAUCUGAAUUAAUACUUUUCUUUUUUUAUUUUCCUUCCGUUUUUUGUUAGAUUUUAUCUUUUGUUUCUUUCUCUUACAUUUUUGAGUUCGAUAAUGGCUUAUUCCUCUGUCACAAAGAUUAGUGCCACGUUAGCCUUAUCUUGAUAUUUCUUCCACCCAAAAGUUCCUGGCUUUAGUUGAAAACGGCAUCCAGCUGAACCUGUUGUCCUAUACUAUGAUGUAGGAGUAGUAGUAACAUGACCUAUAGAAAUAAAUAUACGCCUCAAAUUGAGAUAAUUAAUCAACACAAAGUCACAAAUAAUAGUUGGCUCUCGCAUUUAGAAAAAGGAAAUAGAUUGGGGAUGUAUGUUGUAGACAAAAGUGGGAGUUGUCUUUCCAUAUAUGCAAAAGGCAUAAAAGUGUUAAAUGUAAUAAACUUAUGCACUGGAACUCUGAAAGGACACAAAACAGUGAAGAACACUUAAAGAGAUAAAACAUGUGCUAUUAGUCUUAUUAGACCAUAUAUAGACGCUACUAAGGUGAUUAUGGUAUAGCCUCAUGAUUCAAGCAGUCACAUGCCUGAGGAAGUUUCAAGUUGCAAAUUGUGAAAUUUAGUUAGUUUCAUAUCUACCUGCCUGAGAUGUGAAAUUUAGUUUCAUGUCAAAGAGUAAUAAUUGAGGAACAAGAAAAUGAAUCAACACUAAAGUAGGAGAGAUUAUAAGCGCUCUAAGCUAUAAUCGUGCCUUACUACACCGAUGAUAUGUGUGUUUCCUGUCAUUUGGUAGAUGGCUCUGUGUUCACAUGGGGGUGGGGAGGUUCUCAUGGAAUAUUUUCUGUGGAUGGUCAUUCUUCCGGUGGACAGCUGGUUUGUUUGUAUAUCUUGUGCACCCUUAAGUUUUUCAUGUUUGGCAUCACAUGAACUAUGUCUUAAUGCAAACGCUCCUUUCUAUAUACAUCAAGCUAAAAUGUUUUUGUGUGAAUUUUCUAGCUUAUGGUUAUACAUGAUAGAUCAUGUUUACUGUUUUUGUUUGGUAGUUGGAUUACACUUGUAUUCUGUAUAUGUGUGUUUGUGUGUGUUUGUAUACCCCUUUAUCUGAAUAUCGAUUAUUUAUUUCUAAAAUACUUCGUAUAAGUUUAUCGAGAUGCGAGGGGUUUAAGGAGCCAAUGUGACGAAAAAAUAAAUAAAGAGGAGCCAAUGUGAUGCAAAGUGAGAUAAAGAAAAAUCAUAUGCAAAUAAAGAAAUAUUGCGAUAAAUAUGGAGCUAGAAGAGAAAUAUUCCAAUAUUAAGAGGAACGAGGGAGUACAUUAUAAAGUGGCCAAGCCUUGAACACAAAUCCUUCUCUGGGAAAAGUUGUUAUCCCAUUUUUUUGUUACUAAGGUUAAAAAUAGUUGUUAUUUUGGGUGUUCAAGAGUGUCCAAAGUUUCCUUAACUUUCGGAAGGAAUGUAUACUUCCAUGUACCUUCCUUAACUCUCCUUUCUCCUUUCCUACAUUUUUUUCCUAUAUAAGAAACCUAUCAAAGGAAAAUGAGGUUUGAGCAAUGAUUUCUAUACAGUACAUUUGGAGAUAAAUAAAAUUAACUUGGUACCUCUUAUCUGGGCAAUUUUUCUUGAAACUUAUUUCCAUUGAUGUGUAAAUUUAAAAGGCCUAAUUGUUCUCUUGUUUUGCUUGUUAGUUCUCUAGCUUCUUAUGGAGCUUGUAUUAGGCCAAUGCCUUAUGCAAACGAGAUUGACUUAAGAAUGCUAAUAGGUGGUGCAGUUCGUGAAGCUUGUGUGAUGGAAUACAAUAUCACUCCUCUCUUUCCAUACUACUCUUACCAUGGACCUGUUUUUCGAGUUAUGUUAAGAGUUAACCAUGGAAGGCUAAGUGAUAUGAUACUAUGUGCUUAGAUGUUUCAAUUAUUCAUUUUGUAGAGUUCUAAUUACUGGCUUAUAUUGUGAUGACAGACAUUAUGGGUUUGUAAGCUACUGUCACGGUUGUGGAAAUUCUCAGGCAUUUACAUGGCAUGAACUCGGGAAGAUCGUUUGCUCCAACUGCAGUGCUAAGGUUUACAGUUUAAGUCAAGGUAAAAGGGAUGUAGAGACAGUUAUGUAAGAUGUUAGCAUGUAAGAUGUUAGCAUUUCCCCCCAGCCUGCCAGAGGAUAACAAGUGGUCCGCUGUUAGGUUUGAUCGGAAGGUUAGAGAUUUCACUCAUGGAGAUUUGAGCAACAUAGUUGCACUUCAGGGAGUGUUGGCACCCUUCGAUAUCUGCGAGAAUCCUACUCGGUUCCUCUGAAUUGGUGUCGCUCGUGUUUCACUUGUCAGUGCAACAUUUAUCAGACCUGUGUCUACGUUGUUGCUCAUGUAUGUCUUGCAGCUAAUUGUUGUUUAUUCUCCAUGGAUAUCAGAUAAGCUGCUGCUGUAGCACGACGAAUUAAACGGUUGAAAAUUACUCAAGCCUUGUCAUACACCUGUUCUCACAUGCAAUCCCAUUUUUAUAGAUUUCUGUUUAGUGCAGCCUAGACUCGUCCUUAUGAAACAAGACUAUUGAUUGGUUGUGCAAUGCGUAGCAGCAGACCAUCACAUGACCAUAAUGGUUUGUCAACUCUUGUAUUAAGUCUGGAUAUUGCCGCUACAGGAGUUUUGCCAAUGGUAAGAGUUUUUCCUGGCAGAGAUGACAUGGAUAUGUGUAGCAACAGCCAACAGAUUGAUACUACAAAAGGCAUGAAACAAGGAGGCUUGAUACUACAUUACUGCAGGAGGUUUGCCAAUGCUUAAUAUUCUACUACUGUUAUUUUAAAUUUGUAGGUAGUAUUAUGUAUUAAUUAGUUUAUGUAUUGUUCAAAGUUAGUUUGUAAUCAAACAUGUCCUCAUCUAUUUCUGUAUAAUAAUUAUACUCGGGGUUUGCUUUG